GAUGAACGCUGGCGGCGUGCCUAAUACAUGCAAGUCGAGCGAACGGACGAGAAGCUUGCUUCUCUGAUGUUAGCGGCGGACGGGUGAGUAACACGUGGAUAACCUACCUAUAAGACUGGGAUAACUUCGGGAAACCGGAGCUAAUACCGGAUAAUAUUUUGAACCGCAUGGUUCAAAAGUGAAAGACGGUCUUGCUGUCACUUAUAGAUGGAUCCGCGCUGCAUUAGCUAGUUGGUAAGGUAACGGCUUACCAAGGCAACGAUGCAUAGCCGACCUGAGAGGGUGAUCGGCCACACUGGAACUGAGACACGGUCCAGACUCCUACGGGAGGCAGCAGUAGGGAAUCUUCCGCAAUGGGCGAAAGCCUGACGGAGCAACGCCGCGUGAGUGAUGAAGGUCUUCGGAUCGUAAAACUCUGUUAUUAGGGAAGAACAUAUGUGUAAGUAACUGCGCACAUCUUGACGGUACCUAAUCAGAAAGCCACGGCUAACUACGUGCCAGCAGCCGCGGUAAUACGUAGGUGGCAAGCGUUAUCCGGAAUUAUUGGGCGUAAAGCGCGCGUAGGCGGUUUUUUAAGUCUGAUGUGAAAGCCCACGGCUCAACCGUGGAGGGUCAUUGGAAACUGGAAAACUUGAGUGCAGAAGAGGAAAGUGGAAUUCCAUGUGUAGCGGUGAAAUGCGCAGAGAUAUGGAGGAACACCAGUGGCGAAGGCGACUUUCUGGUCUGUAACUGACGCUGAUGUGCGAAAGCGUGGGGAUCAAACAGGAUUAGAUACCCUGGUAGUCCACGCCGUAAACGAUGAGUGCUAAGUGUUAGGGGGUUUCCGCCCCUUAGUGCUGCAGCUAACGCAUUAAGCACUCCGCCUGGGGAGUACGACCGCAAGGUUGAAACUCAAAGGAAUUGACGGGGACCCGCACAAGCGGUGGAGCAUGUGGUUUAAUUCGAAGCAACGCGAAGAACCUUACCAAAUCUUGACAUCCUUUGACAACUCUAGAGAUAGAGCUUUCCCCUUCGGGGGACAAAGUGACAGGUGGUGCAUGGUUGUCGUCAGCUCGUGUCGUGAGAUGUUGGGUUAAGUCCCGCAACGAGCGCAACCCUUAAGCUUAGUUGCCAUCAUUAAGUUGGGCACUCUAAGUUGACUGCCGGUGACAAACCGGAGGAAGGUGGGGAUGACGUCAAAUCAUCAUGCCCCUUAUGAUUUGGGCUACACACGUGCUACAAUGGACAAUACAAAGGGCAGCGAAACCGCGAGGUCAAGCAAAUCCCAUAAAGUUGUUCUCAGUUCGGAUUGUAGUCUGCAACUCGACUACAUGAAGCUGGAAUCGCUAGUAAUCGUAGAUCAGCAUGCUACGGUGAAUACGUUCCCGGGUCU
This 1372-nucleotide ribosomal RNA is filed under the name uncultured bacterium. RNAcentral's name for it is "bacterial SSU rRNA". It matches the Rfam family "Bacterial small subunit ribosomal RNA", at positions 28 to 1381 of the family's 1533-position model. The record is from RNAcentral.